AUACGGAGGGUGCGAGCGUUAAUCGGAAUUACUGGGCGUAAAGCGCGCGUAGGCGGUUUUGUAAGUCGGAUGUGAAAGCCCCGGGCUUAACCUGGGAACUGCAUUCGAAACUGCAAGACUGGAGUAUGGGAGAGGGAAGUGGAAUUUCCGGUGUAGCGGUGAAAUGCGUAGAUAUCGGAAGGAACACCAGUGGCGAAGGCGACUUCCUGGCCCAAUACUGACGCUGAGGUGCGAAAGCGUGGGGAGCAAACAGGAUUAGAAACCCCGGUAGUCC
Molecule: ribosomal RNA, 274 nt
Filed under: uncultured bacterium
Lineage: Bacteria
Description: partial 16S ribosomal RNA
Rfam family: Bacterial small subunit ribosomal RNA
Source: RNAcentral